This 244-nucleotide ribosomal RNA is filed under the name uncultured Staphylococcus sp. Its description in RNAcentral is "partial 16S ribosomal RNA". It matches the Rfam family "Bacterial small subunit ribosomal RNA", at positions 96 to 334 of the family's 1533-position model. The record is from RNAcentral. Lineage: Bacteria; Bacillati; Bacillota; Bacilli; Caryophanales; Staphylococcaceae.
CGGCGGACGGGUGAGUAACACGUGGAUAACCUACCUAUAAGACUGGGAUAACUUCGGGAAACCGGAGCUAAUACCGGAUAAUAUUUUGAACCGCAUGGUUCAAAAGUGAAAGACGGUCUUGCUGUCACUUAUAGAUGGAUCCGCGCUGCAUUAGCUAGUUGGUAAGGUAACGGCUUACCAAGGCAACGAUGCAUAGCCGACCUGGGAGGGUGAUCGGCCACACUGGAACUGAGACACGGUCCAG